RNAcentral lists this ribosomal RNA (253 nucleotides) under uncultured bacterium. RNAcentral describes it as "partial 16S ribosomal RNA". It matches the Rfam family "Bacterial small subunit ribosomal RNA", at positions 524 to 776 of the family's 1533-position model. The record is from RNAcentral.
UACAGAGGGUGCAAGCGUUGUCCGGAAUUAUUGGGCGUAAAGAGCUCGUAGGCGGCUUGUCGCGUCGGCUGUGAAAACCUGGGGCUCAACCCCGGGCCUGCAGCCGAUACGGGCAAGCUAGAAUUCGGUAGGGGAGACUGGAAUUCCUGGUGUAGCGGUGAAAUGCGCAGAUAUCAGGAGGAACACCGGUGGCGAAGGCGGGUCUCUGGGCCGAUAUUGACGCUGAGGAGCGAAAGCGUGGGGAGCGAACAGG